UGUGUGUUAGUGGAAGCGUCUGGAAAGGCGCGCGAUACAGGGUGACAGCCCCGUACACAAAAAUGCACAUGCUGUGAGCUCGAUGAGUAGGGCGGGACACGUGGUAUCCUGUCUGAAUAUGGGGGGACCAUCCUCCAAGGCUAAAUACUCCUGACUGACCGAUAGUGAACCAGUACCGUGAGGGAAAGGCGAAAAGAACCCCGGCGAGGGGAGUGAAAAAGAACCUGAAACCGUGUACGUACAAGCAGUGGGAGCACGCUUAGGCGUGUGACUGCGUACCUUUUGUAUAAUGGGUCAGCGACUUAUAUUCUGUAGCAAGGUUAACCGAAUAGGGGAGCCGAAGGGAAACCGAGUCUUAACUGGGCGUUAAGUUGCAGGGUAUAGACCCGAAACCCGGUGAUCUAGCCAUGGGCAGGUUGAAGGUUGGGUAACACUAACUGGAGGACCGAACCGACUAAUGUUGAAAAAUUAGCGGAUGACUUGUGGCUGGGGGUGAAAGGCCAAUCAAACCGGGAGAUAGCUGGUUCUCCCCGAAAGCUAUUUAGGUAGCGCCUCGUGAAUUCAUCUCCGGGGGUAGAGCACUGUUUCGGCAAGGGGGUCAUCCCGACUUACCAACCCGAUGCAAACUGCGAAUACCGGAGAAUGUUAUCACGGGAGACACACGGCGGGUGCUAACGUCCGUCGUGAAGAGGGAAACAACCCAGACCGCCAGCUAAGGUCCCAAAGUCAUGGUUAAGUGGGAAACGAUGUGGGAAGGCCCAGACAGCCAGGAUGUUGGCUUAGAAGCAGCCAUCAUUUAAAGAAAGCGUAAUAGCUCACUGGUCGAGUCGGCCUGCGCGGAAGAUGUAACGGGGCUAAACCAUGCACCGAAGCUGCGGCAGCGACGCUUAUGCGUUGUUGGGUAGGGGAGCGUUCUGUAAGCCUGUGAAGGUGUGCUGUGAGGCAUGCUGGAGGUAUCAGAAGUGCGAAUGCUGACAUAAGUAACGAUAAAGCGGGUGAAAAGCCCGCUCGCCGGAAGACCAAGGGUUCCUGUCCAACGUUAAUCGGGGCAGGGUGAGUCGACCCCUAAGGCGAGGCCGAAAGGCGUAGUCGAUGGGAAACAGGUUAAUAUUCCUGUACUUGGUGUUACUGCGAAGGGGGGACGGAGAAGGCUAUGUUGGCCGGGCGACGGUUGUCCCGGUUUAAGCGUGUAGGCUGGUUUUCCAGGCAAAUCCGGAAAAUCAAGGCUGAGGCGUGAUGACGAGGCACUACGGUGCUGAAGCAACAAAUGCCCUGCUUCCAGGAAAAGCCUCUAAGCAUCAGGUAACAUCAAAUCGUACCCCAAACCGACACAGGUGGUCAGGUAGAGAAUACCAAGGCGCUUGAGAGAACUCGGGUGAAGGAACUAGGCAAAAUGGUGCCGUAACUUCGGGAGAAGGCACGCUGAUAUGUAGGUGAAGUCCCUCGCGGAUGGAGCUGAAAUCAGUCGAAGAUACCAGCUGGCUGCAACUGUUUAUUAAAAACACAGCACUGUGCAAACACGAAAGUGGACGUAUACGGUGUGACGCCUGCCCGGUGC
Molecule: ribosomal RNA, 1558 nt
Filed under: Escherichia coli
Lineage: Bacteria; Pseudomonadati; Pseudomonadota; Gammaproteobacteria; Enterobacterales; Enterobacteriaceae
Description: partial 23S ribosomal RNA
Rfam family: Bacterial large subunit ribosomal RNA
Source: RNAcentral